CAUGCAGUCGAACGGCAGCAUGAUCUAGCUUGCUAGAUUGAUGGCGAGUGGCGAACGGGUGAGUAAUACAUCGGAACGUGCCCUGUAGUGGGGGAUAACUAGUCGAAAGAUUAGCUAAUACCGCAUACGACCUGAGGGUGAAAGUGGGGGACCGCAAGGCCUCAUGCUAUAGGAGCGGCCGAUGUCUGAUUAGCUAGUUGGUGAGGUAAAGGCUCACCAAGGCGACGAUCAGUAGCUGGUCUGAGAGGACGAUCAGCCACACUGGGACUGA
Molecule: ribosomal RNA, 271 nt
Filed under: uncultured Ralstonia sp.
Lineage: Bacteria; Pseudomonadati; Pseudomonadota; Betaproteobacteria; Burkholderiales; Burkholderiaceae
Description: partial 16S ribosomal RNA
Rfam family: Bacterial small subunit ribosomal RNA
Source: RNAcentral